Molecule: ribosomal RNA, 465 nt
Filed under: uncultured bacterium
Lineage: Bacteria
Description: partial 16S ribosomal RNA
Rfam family: Bacterial small subunit ribosomal RNA
Source: RNAcentral
GACGAACGCUGGCGGCGUGCUUAACACAUGCAAGUCGAACGGAAAGGCCCUGCUUGCAGGGUACUCGAGUGGCGAACGGGUGAGUAACACGUGGGUGAUCUGCCCUGCACUUCGGGAUAAGCCUGGGAAACUGGGUCUAAUACCGGAUAGGAGCCAUUUUUAGUGUGAUGGUUGGAAAGUUUUUUCGGUGUAGGAUGAGCUCGCGGCCUAUCAGCUUGUUGGUGGGGUAAUGGCCUACCAAGGCGGCGACGGGUAGCCGGCCUGAGAGGGUGGACGGCCACAUUGGGACUGAGAUGCGGCCCAGACUCCUACGGGAGGCAGCAGUGGGGAAGAUUGCACGAGGGGCGCAAGCCUGAUGCAGCGACGCCGCGUGGGGGAUGACGGCCUUCGGGUUGAAAACUCCUUUCGCUAGGGACGAAGCUUUUUGUGACGGUACCUAGAUAAGAAGCACCGGCUAACUACGUG